This 68-nucleotide transfer RNA is filed under the name Dendropsophus carnifex (executioner treefrog). RNAcentral describes it as "tRNA-Val". It matches the Rfam family "tRNA". From Rfam's summary of the family: Transfer RNA (tRNA) molecules are approximately 80 nucleotides in length. The record is from RNAcentral. Lineage: Eukaryota; Metazoa; Chordata; Amphibia; Anura; Hylidae.
CAAAGUAUAGCUUAAUAAAAGCAUCUCGCUUACACCGAGAAGAUGCCCGUUAGCCCGGACUACCUUGA